GAGGUAACUCUUGUAAAACCCUCCCCAUUACAUCUGGCAUGUAAUAUAGGCUAAUAAGCAGCCCUUCUGAGUGAUCUAGGGAUGUACAGAGAAUGCCAUUCAAGCUGUGUGCACUAGGGGGCACUGUGAGGUUUAGUCUGAGGCCCCUAAUGAGUCCAAGUCCCCUGGUAAUGCUCAAGUGCAAAGGACAUGACUGCUGCUUCCUUUGAGGCUCUGUUUGGUAAAUCUGAAAACACAAACACACUCGGCCCUUCUUCUGAUCUUGAGAAAUUGCUCAGAGAAGGCCCUCAGGCUGAGGGCUCAGACAAGAACGAGGACAAAUAUUUCAGGGAAUGGAGAACAGAUUUGCAUCCACUGCUCACCAGAGCCACCUAACAAGACACAAGAAUAAAGGAAGUAGAUUUGCAUGAAGAGCCUCCCCUUCCUAUGAUAAGAGAGGCCUGGAGGUUCCUCCUUAGCUGUGGGCUCAGAGGCAGAGCUCUGGGGUGUCUCCACCAUGGCCUGGACCCCUCCCCUGCUCACCCUCCUCACUCUCUGCACAGGUUCUGUGGUUUCUUCUGAGCUGACUCAGGACCCUGCAGUGUCUGUGGCCUUGGGACAGCCAGCCAGGAUCACCUGCCAGGGAGAGAGCCUCAGAAGCUAUUAUCCAAGCUGGUACCAGCAGAAGCCGGGCCAGGCCCCUGUGCUGGUCAUCUAUGGUAACAACAACCGGCCUUCAGGGAUCCCAGACCGAUUCUCUGGCUCCAGCUCAGAAAACACAGCUUCCUUGACCAUCACUGGGGCUCAGGUGGAAGAUGAGGCUGACUAUUACUGUAACUCCUGGGACAGCAGUGGUACUUAUCCCACAGUGACACAGACAGAUGGGGAAGUGAGAGAGAAACCCCUUCCCUUGCUGUGUCACCCUAUCUCUCCAGCCCCAGCAGGACUGUGAACAAAGCCAUAAGCAGGGCUGGUCCAGUUCACCUGGAUCUGAGACCUUCAGGCUUCCCUCCUCUCCAGCCCUCAGGCAGGCUCUGCAGAAGGUGGGUUGGGAUAGGAUUUGAGGCUGGAAGGACCAAGGUGUUCUGCUGUAGUCUGGACUGAGUGUGUCUUGGCUCAAGAUGACCUGAGUGGAAGGACAGUAAGAGGGAGACAGGCAGCCAUGGAGUGUCCAUGGUCUCUGGAGUUCCUCUUGUGUGGUGACUGGAUCUAAUGCAAUGCCUGUCCUCUGUGGCCCAAAUACCUUGGAUUAGUUCUCUGAACGACUCAUGUUUAGCUGAGACCCUCAAGCCCCAGCUCCAUGCAUCCUGAUGUUCUGAACGGGAAAGUCUUUCCUAGUGAGCACUGUGGUAUCACGUGGCAUCCCUGACUUCCCACAGCCAUUUCCCACUGAAAAAUGCCAUUGAGUGCAAAUAACAGCUUCCUGCAAAAGUGUGCCUCCUUCAGAAUGUGGUUCUAGAGCAAUGACUGCCUGAGGCCUUAAUCCCAAAUCCAUGCUUUAAUUUAGGAUGACCUUAAAACACCUCCUAGCUGAAUGGUCAAUUGUAACAUAUUCCCAGGCACGCCUCCCACAUUUCUCUCCUGUGAGUAUAUCCUGAAACCCUACUGUAUGUAACCCUCACUCUCAGAGUAGGAUUCUAUGGAAAUGAAAAAUUGUAAAAAAAAAUGAAAACAUCCUAGUGGGAAGAGUAUCAAAGAGGAGGCAGUUGCACACGAAGAGAACUCUGAAGUCUGCAAAUAUUUAUGCACUAAUGAGCACUUGUGUGUAAAGAAACUCCCUCUGAAAGAGAAAAGAACCACCUAAAGACACUUGAGGGAAUACCCCACAGAGAACACACACACACUCACACACACACACACACUACAGUCACAGAAGAAGGGCCUGAGUUA
Molecule: non-coding RNA, 1869 nt
Organism: Callithrix jacchus (white-tufted-ear marmoset)
Lineage: Eukaryota; Metazoa; Chordata; Mammalia; Primates; Cebidae
Source: the annotation of a RefSeq genome assembly